AUUGAACGCUGGCGGCAGGCCUAACACAUGCAAGUCGAACGAGCGGCGGACGGGUGAGUAAUGUAUGGGAAACUGCCUGAUAGAGGGGGAUAACUACUGGAAACGGUGGCUAAUACCGCAUACGAUCGUUUGAACCCAGAUGGGAUUAGCUAGUAGGUGGGGUAAAGGCUCACCUAGGCGACCAUCCCUACCUGGUCUGAGAGGAGGAUCAGCCACACUGGGACUGAGACACGGCCCAGACUCCUACGGGAGGCAGCAGUGGGGAAUAUUGCACAAUGGGCGCAAGCCUGAUGCAGCCAUGCCGCGUGUAUGAAGAAGGCCUUCGGGUUGUAAAGUACUUUCAGCGGGGAGGCGUUACCCGCAGAAGAAGCAACGGCUAACUCCGUGCCAGCAGCCGCGGUAAUAC
Molecule: ribosomal RNA, 406 nt
Filed under: uncultured bacterium
Lineage: Bacteria
Description: partial 16S ribosomal RNA
Rfam family: Bacterial small subunit ribosomal RNA
Source: RNAcentral